UACAGAGGUCCCAAGCGUUGUUCGGAUUCAUUGGGCGUAAAGGGUGCGUAGGCGGCGCGGUAAGUCGGGUGUGAAAUCUCGGGGCUUAACUCCGAAACUGCAUUCGAUACUGCCGUGCUUGAGGACUGGAGAGGAGACUGGAAUUUACGGUGUAGCGGUGAAAUGCGUAGAUAUCGUAAGGAAGACCAGUGGCGAAGGCAGCUCUCUGGGACGGUACUGACGCUGAGACGCGAAAGCGUGGGGAGCGAACAGG
RNAcentral lists this ribosomal RNA (253 nucleotides) under uncultured bacterium. RNAcentral describes it as "partial 16S ribosomal RNA". It matches the Rfam family "Bacterial small subunit ribosomal RNA", at positions 524 to 776 of the family's 1533-position model. The record is from RNAcentral.